Phrynosoma platyrhinos (Desert horned lizard) is the source of this 72-nucleotide non-coding RNA. NCBI's taxonomy places the organism in Eukaryota, Metazoa, Chordata, Lepidosauria, Squamata, Phrynosomatidae. The record is from the annotation of a GenBank genome assembly.
GAAAGUGUGGUGUAGUGGUUUGAGCAUUCACCUAGGACUCUGGAGACCAGGGUUUGAAUCCCUGCUCUGCUA